RNAcentral lists this non-coding RNA (97 nucleotides) under Dyadobacter jiangsuensis. The record is from RNAcentral. Lineage: Bacteria; Pseudomonadati; Bacteroidota; Cytophagia; Cytophagales; Spirosomataceae.
GAAAGCCGUAUACAUUGAGAGAUGUACGUACGGUUUGGAGGCGAGCACUUGGAAACCUGGUUAUGAAAGUAAACAAGGCGCCGGGUGCUUAGCCUAC